GCAACUUGGAAGAAUGAAAGGCAAUAGCCAGUUACAAUAGAAUUUUUUAUUGUGAAAUCGCCUCUGGCGAAUAAAGUUCAGGGUAGAGUAUUGAUAAUGACAUUUUCUAUCUGUUUGUCUUGACCAAAUUACGUGCCAGCAGUCGCGGUAAUACGUAAAAGACUAGUGUUAUUCAUCUUUAAUAGGUUUAAAGGGUACUUAGACGGUAAAUCAAGCAAAAAAAAAAAAUGAACUAAUUUACUUGAGUAUGAUGUGAGAUGCGGAAGCUUGUUAGUAUUCUUGAGAGAAGAGAUGAAAUUCUGUCAUCCGUCGAGGAAACGGGUAAAGGCGAAA
Molecule: ribosomal RNA, 333 nt
Filed under: Poeltinula cerebrina
Lineage: Eukaryota; Fungi; Ascomycota; Lecanoromycetes; Rhizocarpales; Rhizocarpaceae
Description: partial small subunit ribosomal RNA
Rfam family: Bacterial small subunit ribosomal RNA
Source: RNAcentral